This 497-nucleotide ribosomal RNA is filed under the name uncultured bacterium. Its description in RNAcentral is "partial 16S ribosomal RNA". It matches the Rfam family "Bacterial small subunit ribosomal RNA", at positions 28 to 507 of the family's 1533-position model. The record is from RNAcentral.
GAUGAACGCUGGCGGCGUGCCUAAUACAUGCAAGUCGAGCGAACAGACGAGGAGCUUGCUCCUCUGACGUUAGCGGCGGACGGGUGAGUAACACGUGGAUAACCUACCUAUAAGACUGGGAUAACUUCGGGAAACCGGAGCUAAUACCGGAUAACAUGUUGAACCGCGUGGUUCAACAGUGAAAGACGGUCUUGCUGUCACUUAUAGAUGGAUCCGCGCCGCAUUAGCUAGUUGGUAAGGUAACGGCUUACCAAGGCAACGAUGCGUAGCCGACCGGAGAGGGUGAUCGGCCACACUAGAACUGAGACACGGUCCAGACUCCGACGGGAGGCAGCAGUAGGGAAUCUUACGCAAUGGGCGAAAGCCUGACGGAGCAACGCCGCGUGAGUGAAGAAGGUCUUAGGAUCGUAAAACUCUGUUAUUAGGGAAGAACAAAUGUGUAAGUAACUAUGCACGUCUUGACGGUACCUAAUCAGAAAGCCACGGCUAACUACGUG